GCCGCCCAGCCGUUCGUAGCGUGACGUCACUGUAUAGCCCAAGCAAAGGGGCGUGGUCUAAGGCGGAAGUGUUUGUUCUUGUGUAGCAGAUGUAUAUACCUUGGAUCAUGAUCUUCAUACCCCCAUAGACCCACCGGGGAUCCCUUUCCUGGAUCUCUGGGGGCGAGUGAACAAAGGGCCUUGAUUUGAGAAGGUGACCUCAAACAAGAUGGUGUGUGAGUUCUUUCUGCUGUCCUCCAUCUGGUUCGUUGUGGUCAUCUUUUGGAUGGAGACAAUCAGUAUGUGGUUGUUCCUGUGCCAUUUAUUCCAAGACAGAGCAAUGUAUCAGUGGGGAGAAAGGAUUUACAUCACCCAUCCUGACCAGAUCAUGUACAUAAUUAUUACAGUUGACUCUUUGAGGUAGCCCUAUACUUCACUGGCGCUGACUGGAUUAUUUUCCAAAUGCUUGAAGAGAAGGGCGGUGGACUGAAUUUUGCCAAGGGACAGGAAGGGAUGAAAGUGCCAUUUUAAAUUAAAAAACAUAGUAUUUUGAAAAUCUUUUUAAUGAUGUUAUAAAAGUAAAUUUGGGUGAAAUAUACGAGACACCCCUGACCAGUGUGGAAGAUAAUGUUCUGCCUGUGAAAUUCUUUUUUAUAUAUUGGUAAGACUUUUGGAUGGUCAGCAAGCUUAUAGAAAGAAAAACUGCCUGGUAAAUUCAAUGUAGGGCUGUUGCUGCUUCAGCUUUUAAGGUCCGUGUCUGGCUAUUAGUUGGACUCCCACCAGUGUUCCGUGGAAUGCACUAUCCGUAAAGGAAGCCUUAAAAUGUCACUGUUAUUUUCUGAGUGCCAUAUGGAAUCUGUGGAUACAGUGGCUGGAAUGGUACUCUGGAAUCUGCCAUACUGAAAAUCAAUCAAACCUAUAUCUUUUCAAGUUUUUAUUACAGUAUGUUGUAAUUUUUAAACCAUUUGUAGUUUUUAUGUGUUUGAAUAUAUUUUAAAAAUAAAUCUUAUUUUCAUUUAAAAA
Long non-coding RNA from Xenopus tropicalis (tropical clawed frog), 1002 nucleotides. RefSeq lists it as uncharacterized. NCBI's taxonomy places the organism in Eukaryota, Metazoa, Chordata, Amphibia, Anura, Pipidae. The record is from RefSeq and is a predicted model, not a curated record. The transcript is spliced from 4 exons.